UACAGAGGUCUCAAGCGUUGUUCGGAUUCAUUGGGCGUAAAGGGCACGUAGGCGGCAUUGCAAGUCGGAUGUGAAAUCCCUCGGCUUAACCAAGGAAGUGCAUCCGAAACUGCAGUGCUUGAGUACUUAAGAGGAUCGCGGAAUUCCCGGUGUAGAGGUGAAAUUCGUAGAUAUCGGGAGGAACACCAGUGGCGAAGGCGGCGAUCUGGGAAGAUACUGACGCUGAGGUGCGAAAGCGUGGGGAGCAAACAGG
Molecule: ribosomal RNA, 253 nt
Filed under: uncultured bacterium
Lineage: Bacteria
Description: partial 16S ribosomal RNA
Rfam family: Bacterial small subunit ribosomal RNA
Source: RNAcentral